GGGCGUUUGGCGCAGUGGUAGCGCGUCCGCUUUGCAUGCGGAAGGUCUAGGGUUCAAUCCCCUAAACGUCCA
RNAcentral lists this transfer RNA (72 nucleotides) under Colletotrichum noveboracense. RNAcentral describes it as "tRNA-Ala". It matches the Rfam family "tRNA". Rfam says of the family: Transfer RNA (tRNA) molecules are approximately 80 nucleotides in length. The record is from RNAcentral. Lineage: Eukaryota; Fungi; Ascomycota; Sordariomycetes; Glomerellales; Glomerellaceae.